AUUCAAAGUAAUAUAUUCCGUCUAAAAUGUAUUUAUCUCAAAACGCAUUUGUGUGCUGCUUUCACCUUUAUUAUGGCUGCAUUUUCAUUGGCGUUUGGGGUCUGCUGAUCUCCAUAAUUGGUUUCAUAUUUGUCCUAAUUGCAAUGUUUCCAGAAUUUUCACUACUUUGGUCAAUUAUAGCAUUAAUAUUUAUGAUGCUAUAUUUGAUUUCAAAAGUUUGUUUGCUUCUGUCCAUUGGAUAUGAAAUUUGUAUUUUGGCGCUAGUUUCUUUUGUUUUUGGAGCGUUGUCGAUUAUUUUUGCACUUGCUAUUUUGAUAUGGCAAAUUGUGCUUGGAGCAAGUCUUCUUCCCGUCGUUCUGGGCGUCUUCUUUAUAGUAGUGGAAAUUUACUUUGCCUAUGUGGUAAUAUCGUAUUGGAAUCUUUGUGAAAAUAGAAGUUUGGCAUAAGGUGGCUCUACUAUUAUAUAUUAUAUUAUAUUCAUACACCCUAUUUUAACA
Long non-coding RNA from Drosophila grimshawi, 497 nucleotides. RefSeq lists it as uncharacterized. The transcript is spliced from 3 exons. Lineage: Eukaryota; Metazoa; Arthropoda; Insecta; Diptera; Drosophilidae. The record is from RefSeq and is a predicted model, not a curated record.